GUGGGGAAUAUUGCACAAUGGGCGCAAGCCUGAUGCAGCAACGCCGCGUGAGGGACGACGGCCUUCGGGUUGUAAACCUCUUUUAGCAGGGAAGAAGCGAAAGUGACGGUACCUGCAGAAAAAGCACCGGCUAACUACGUGCCAGCAGCCGCGGUAAUACGUAGGGUGCAAGCGUUGUCCGGAAUUAUUGGGCGUAAAGAGUUCGUAGGCGGUUUGUCGCGUCUGCUGUGAAAACCCGAGGCUCAACCUCGGGCCUGCAGUGGGUACGGGCAGACUAGAGGGCGGUAGGGGAGAUUGGAAUUCCUGGUGUAGCGGUGGAAUGCGCAGAUAUCAGGAGGAACACCGAUGGCGAAGGCAGAUCUCUGGGCCGUAACUGACGCUGAGGAGCGAAAGCGUGGGGAGCGAACAGGAUUAGAAACCCUUGUAGUCC
RNAcentral lists this ribosomal RNA (430 nucleotides) under uncultured bacterium. Its description in RNAcentral is "partial 16S ribosomal RNA". It matches the Rfam family "Bacterial small subunit ribosomal RNA", at positions 354 to 796 of the family's 1533-position model. The record is from RNAcentral.